Molecule: ribosomal RNA, 497 nt
Filed under: uncultured bacterium
Lineage: Bacteria
Description: partial 16S ribosomal RNA
Rfam family: Bacterial small subunit ribosomal RNA
Source: RNAcentral
GACGAACGCUGGCGGCGUGCCUAAUACAUGCAAGUAGAACGCUGAGGAGAGGAGCUUGCUCUUCUUGGAUGAGUUGCGAACGGGUGAGUAACGCGUAGGUAACCUGCCUUGUAGCGGGGGAUAACUAUUGGAAACGAUAGCUAAUACCGCAUAACAAUGGAUGACACAUGUCAUUUAUUUGAAAGGGGCAAUUGCUCCACUACAAGAUGGACCUGCGUUGUAUUAGCUAGUAGGUGAGGUAAUGGCUCACCUAGGCGACGAUACAUAGCCGACCUGAGAGGGUGAUCGGCCACACUGGGACUGAGACACGGCCCAGACUCCUACGGGAGGCAGCAGUAGGGAAUCUUCGGCAAUGGGGGCAACCCUGACCGAGCAACGCCGCGUGAGUGAAGAAGGUUUUCGGAUCGUAAAGCUCUGUUGUAAGUCAAGAACGGGUGUGAGAGUGGAAAGUUCACACUGUGACGGUGGCUUACCAGAAAGGGACGGCUAACUACGUG